UUCGAAGGGAUAGGGUCGGUUCGGCCGGAUUUCACACAGGUGUUGCAUGGCUGUCGUCAGCUCGUGUCGUGAGAUGUUGGGUUAAGUCCCGCAACGAGCGUAACCCUCAUCCUUAGUUACCAUCAGGUAAUGCCGGGGACUUUAAGGAAACUGCUAGUGAUAAACUGGAGGAAGGUGGGGAUGAUGUCAAGUCAUCAUGGCCCUUAUGGAGUGGGCUACACACGUGCUACAAUGGUGGCUACAAUGGGCUGCAAAGUCGCGAGGCUAAGCUAAUCUCUUAAAAGCCAUCUCAGUUCGGAUUGUACUCUGCAACUCGAGUGCAUGAAGUUGGAAUCGCUAGUAAUCGUGGAUCAGCAUGCCACGGUGAAUACGUUCUCGGGUCUUGUACACACUGCCCGUCACGCCAUGGGAAUUG
RNAcentral lists this ribosomal RNA (415 nucleotides) under Wolbachia endosymbiont of Cavitermes tuberosus. RNAcentral's name for it is "bacterial SSU rRNA". It matches the Rfam family "Bacterial small subunit ribosomal RNA", at positions 1000 to 1413 of the family's 1533-position model. RNAcentral also lists the same sequence under 1 other name. Lineage: Bacteria; Pseudomonadati; Pseudomonadota; Alphaproteobacteria; Rickettsiales; Anaplasmataceae. The record is from RNAcentral.